AUUACAUAUCAUAAAAAUAUCAUGAGCAUCUCAUACAACAUCUUCAAUUCAAGAAAAUAGCAUGGGGAUCACAUUGAACAUAAACUUAGAACAUGGAACAGUCAUUUAGGGCUUAUUAUGUCAUAAAAGCAUGAUUUCUAUUCCCUUAGGUAUUUUCACAAACACCAUACAUGCACAUCUUAGGCAUAGAUGGAUUCAUC
Molecule: long non-coding RNA, 200 nt
Filed under: Capsicum annuum
Lineage: Eukaryota; Viridiplantae; Streptophyta; Magnoliopsida; Solanales; Solanaceae
Description: long non-coding RNA (CANN_LNC017992)
Source: RNAcentral